GCGCCCGUAGCUCAGCCGGAUAGAGCAACGGACUUCUAAUCCGUAGGUCGCAGGUUCGAAUCCUGCCGGGCGCGCCA
RNAcentral lists this transfer RNA (77 nucleotides) under Candidatus Tectimicrobiota bacterium. Its description in RNAcentral is "tRNA-Arg". It matches the Rfam family "tRNA". Rfam says of the family: Transfer RNA (tRNA) molecules are approximately 80 nucleotides in length. Their secondary structure includes four short double-helical elements and three loops (D, anti-codon, and T loops). Lineage: Bacteria; Pseudomonadati; Candidatus Tectimicrobiota. The record is from RNAcentral.